RNAcentral lists this ribosomal RNA (416 nucleotides) under Bacillus subtilis. RNAcentral's name for it is "bacterial SSU rRNA". It matches the Rfam family "Bacterial small subunit ribosomal RNA", at positions 388 to 796 of the family's 1533-position model. The record is from RNAcentral. Lineage: Bacteria; Bacillati; Bacillota; Bacilli; Caryophanales; Bacillaceae.
GGAGCACGCCGCGUGAGUGAUGAAGGUUUUCGGAUCGUAAAGCUCUGUUGUUAGGGAAGAACAAGUACCGUUCGAAUAGGGCGGUACCUUGACGGUACCUAACCAGAAAGCCACGGCUAACUACGUGCCAGCAGCCGCGGUAAUACGUAGGUGGCAAGCGUUGUCCGGAAUUAUUGGGCGUAAAGGGCUCGCAGGCGGUUUCUUAAGUCUGAUGUGAAAGCCCCCGGCUCAACCGGGGAGGGUCAUUGGAAACUGGGGAACUUGAGUGCAGAAGAGGAGAGUGGAAUUCCACGUGUAGCGGUGAAAUGCGUAGAGAUGUGGAGGAACACCAGUGGCGAAGGCGACUCUCUGGUCUGUAACUGACGCUGAGGAGCGAAAGCGUGGGGAGCGAACAGGAUUACAUACCCUGGUAGUCC